CAGGCUUAACACAUGCAAGUCGAGGAGCAGCAUUUUAGUUUGCUUGCAAACUGAAGAUGGCGACCGGCGCACGGGUGAGUAACACGUAUCCAACCUGCCGAUAACUCCGGAAUAGCCUUUCGAAAGAAAGAUUAAUACCGGAUAGCAUACGAAUAUCGCAUGAUAUUUUUAUUAAAGAAUUUCGGUUAUCGAUGGGGAUGCGUUCCAUUAGUUUGUUGGCGGGGUAACGGCCCACCAAGACAACGAUGGAUAGGGGUUCUGAGAGGAAGGUCCCCCACAUUGGAACUGAGACACGGUCCAAACUCCUACGGGAGGCAGCAGUGAGGAAUAUUGGUCAAUGGGCGAGAGCCUGAACCAGCCAAGUAGCGUGAAGGAUGAAGGCUCUAUGGGUCGUAAACUUCUUUUAUAUGGGAAUAAAGUUUUCCACGUGUGGAAUUUUGUAUGUACCAUAUGAAUAAGGAUCGGCUAACUCCGUGCCAGCAGCCGCGGUAAUACGGAGGAUCCGAGCGUUAUCCGGAUUUAUUGGGUUUAAAGGGAGCGUAGGUGGAUUGUUAAGUCAGUUGUGAAAGUUUGCGGCUCAACCGUAAAAUUGCAGUUGAAACUGGCAGUCUUGAGUACAGUAGAGGUGGGCGGAAUUCGUGGUGUAGCGGUGAAAUGCUUAGAUAUCACGAAGAACUCCGAUUGCGAAGGCAGCUCACUAGACUGUCACUGACACUGAUGCUCGAAAGUGUGGGUAUCAAACAGGAUUAGAUACCCUGGUAGUCCACACAGUAAACGAUGAAUACUCGCUGUUUGCGAUAUACAGUAAGCGGCCAAGCGAAAGCAUUAAGUAUUCCACCUGGGGAGUACGCCGGCAACGGUGAAACUCAAAGGAAUUGACGGGGGCCCGCACAAGCGGAGGAACAUGUGGUUUAAUUCGAUGAUACGCGAGGAACCUUACCCGGGCUUAAAUUGCAACAGAAUAUAUUGGAAACAGUAUAGCCGUAAGGCUGUUGUGAAGGUGCUGCAUGGUUGUCGUCAGCUCGUGCCGUGAGGUGUCGGCUUAAGUGCCAUAACGAGCGCAACCCUUAUCUUUAGUUACUAACAGGUUAUGCUGAGGACUCUAGAGAGACUGCCGUCGUAAGAUGUGAGGAAGGUGGGGAUGACGUCAAAUCAGCACGGCCCUUACGUCCGGGGCUACACACGUGUUACAAUGGGGGGUACAGAAGGCGGCUACCUGGUGACAGGAUGCUAAUCCCAAAAACCUCUCUCAGUUCGGAUCGAAGUCUGCAACCCGACUUCGUGAAGCUGGAUUCGCUAGUAAUCGCGCAUCAGCCAUGGCGCGGUGAAUACGUUCCCGGGCCUUGUACACACCGCCCGUCAAGCCAUGAAAGCCGGGGGUACCUGAAGUACGUAACCGCAAGGAGCGUCCUAGGGUAAAACUGGUAAUUGGG
RNAcentral lists this ribosomal RNA (1433 nucleotides) under uncultured organism. RNAcentral's name for it is "16S ribosomal RNA". It matches the Rfam family "Bacterial small subunit ribosomal RNA". The record is from RNAcentral.